CUUACACAUNGCAAGUCGAACGGCAGCACGGGGGCAACCCUGGUGGCGAGUGGCGAACGGGUGAGUAACAUAUCGGAACGUGCCCUGGAGUGGGGGAUAACUAGUCGAAAGAUUAGCUAAUACCGCAUACGAUCUACGGAUGAAAGUGGGGGAUCGCAAGACCUCAUGCUCGUGGAGCGGCCGAUAUCUGAUUAGCUAGUUGGUGGGGUAAAGGCCUACCAAGGCAUCGAUCAGUAGCUGGUCUGAGAGGACGACCAGCCACACUGGGACUGAGACACGGCCCAGACUCCUACGGGAGGCAGCAGUGGGGAAUUUUGGACAAUGGGCGCAAGCCUGAUCCAGCAAUGCCGCGUGAGUGAAGAAGGCCUUCGGGUUGUAAAGCUUUUUUGUCAGGGAAGAAACGGUUCGGGUUAAUACCUUGGGCUAAUGACGGUACUUGAAGAAUAAGCACCGGCUAACUACGUGCCAGCAGCCGCGGUAAUACGUAGGGUGCAAGCGUUAAUCGGAAUUACUGGGCGUAAAGCGUGCGCAGGCGGUUGUGCAAGACAGAUGUGAAAUCCCCGGGCUCAACUUGGGAAUUGCAUUUGUGACUGUACGGCUAGAGUGUGUCAGAGGGGGGUAGAAUUCCACGUGUAGCAGUGAAAUGCGUAGAGAUGUGGAGGAAUACCGAUGGCGAAGG
Molecule: ribosomal RNA, 679 nt
Filed under: uncultured bacterium
Lineage: Bacteria
Description: bacterial SSU rRNA
Rfam family: Bacterial small subunit ribosomal RNA
Source: RNAcentral